GACGGGUAUCCGGCCUGAGAGGGUGAUCGGACACACUGGAACUGAGACACGGUCCAGACUCCUACGGGAGGCAGCAGUAGGGAAUAUUGCUCAAUGGGGGAAACCCUGAAGCAGCAACGCCGCGUGGAGGAUGAAGGUUUUAGGAUUGUAAACUCCUUUUGUGAGAGAAGAUUAUGACGGUAUCUCACGAAUAAGCACCGGCUAACUCCGUGCCAGCAGCCGCGGUAAUACGGAGGGUGCAAGCGUUACUCGGAAUCACUGGGCGUAAAGAGUGCGCAGGCGGGGUGGUAAGUUAGAUGUGAAAUCCUGUAGCUUAACUACAGAACUGCAUUUGAAACUAUCACUCUA
Molecule: ribosomal RNA, 348 nt
Filed under: uncultured Helicobacter sp.
Lineage: Bacteria; Pseudomonadati; Campylobacterota; Epsilonproteobacteria; Campylobacterales; Helicobacteraceae
Description: bacterial SSU rRNA
Rfam family: Bacterial small subunit ribosomal RNA
Source: RNAcentral